AACCCGUGGUGAGGGCAUCUUCUCAAGAGGUCAUUUUAUCUCUCCCAUGCAACGUAGAGUGUUUCUAAAUCCAUCUGCACAAAGGAAAAAAUAUCACUAUUUAGCUU
Molecule: non-coding RNA, 107 nt
Organism: Gossypium arboreum
Lineage: Eukaryota; Viridiplantae; Streptophyta; Magnoliopsida; Malvales; Malvaceae
Source: Rfam